RNAcentral lists this ribosomal RNA (650 nucleotides) under uncultured bacterium. RNAcentral describes it as "bacterial SSU rRNA". It matches the Rfam family "Bacterial small subunit ribosomal RNA", at positions 13 to 639 of the family's 1533-position model. The record is from RNAcentral.
UUGAUCCUGGCUCAGGAUGAACGCGGCGGCGUGCUUAACACAUGCAAGUCGAACGAGAAAGGCCCUUCGGGGGACGAGUAAAGUGGCGAACGGGUGAGUAACACGUGGGUAACCUGCUCUCGGGUAUGGGAUAACGGCUCGAAAGGGCCGCUAAUACCGUAUGUGACCACGGACUCCUCGGAGUCUGAGGUAAAAGGAGGCCUCUCCCUGGAAGCUUCCGCCCAAGAAUGGGCCCGCGCACUAUUAGCUAGUUGGUGAGGUAACGGCCCACCAAGGCGAUGAUGGUUAGCUGGUCUGAGAGGAUGACCAGCCACACUGGAACUGAAACACGGUCCAGACUCCUACGGGAGGCAGCAGUGGGGAAUAUUGCGCAAUGGGGGAAACCCUGACGCAGCAACGCCGCGUGGGUGAAGAAGGCCUUCGGGUUGUAAAGCCCUGUCAGAAGGAAAGAAAACGGUUGCGGUCAAUACCCGCUUCCGUUGACGGUACCUUCAGAGGAAGCACCGGCUAACUCCGUGCCAGCAGCCGCGGUAAUACGGAGGGUGCAAGCGUUGUUCGGAAUCAUUGGGCGUAAAGCGCGUGUAGGCGGCCCGACAAGUCAGAUGUGAAAGGCCCGCGCUCCACGCGGGAGCUGCCGUUGAUACUGUCGG